GACGAACGCUGGCGGCAUGCUUAACACAUGCAAGUCGAACGGAAAGGCCUGCUUUCCCUUGUGGAUUGCGGGUACUCGAGUGGCGAACGGGUGAGUAACACGUGAGUGAUCUGCCCCCAACUUGGGUAUAAGCCUGGGAAACUGGGUCUAAUUCCCGAUAGGCCUGCAGGGUGGUGCCUGUGGUGGAAAACGAUUUUCUAGUGGUUGGGGAUGAGCUCGCGGCCUAUCAGCUUGUUGGUGGGGUAAUGGCCUACCAAGGCGGCGACGGGUAGCCGGCCUGAGAGGGUGGACGGCCACAUUGGGACUGAGAUACGGCCCAGACUCCUACGGGAGGCAGCAGUGGGGAAUAUUGCACAAUGGGCGGAAGCCUGAUGCAGCGACGCCGCGUGGGGGAUGACGGCCUUCGGGUUGUAAACUCCUUUCGACCGCGAGGAAGCCACCUGGUUGGAAGGGUGGUGACGGUAGUGGUAGAAGAAGCACCGGCUAACUACGUG
RNAcentral lists this ribosomal RNA (494 nucleotides) under uncultured bacterium. Its description in RNAcentral is "partial 16S ribosomal RNA". It matches the Rfam family "Bacterial small subunit ribosomal RNA", at positions 28 to 507 of the family's 1533-position model. The record is from RNAcentral.